Molecule: unclassified non-coding RNA, 226 nt
Filed under: Hevea brasiliensis (rubber tree)
Lineage: Eukaryota; Viridiplantae; Streptophyta; Magnoliopsida; Malpighiales; Euphorbiaceae
Source: RNAcentral
UUUAAUUUUGCCCUUAAAAUGGGAAAAUCCCAAAAUUUACAUGUUUCAUUACUCUUAAUACAUAAGUUCUACCAAAGAUAAAACCCUAAAUAACCCACAUUUUCUCCCUUUCUUAUUCAUUUUGCCAAUCAAAACACUUACCAAAUUUUACUCAAUAAGAAAGACAACACUACCCUUCUCUUUCUCUCUCCUUGUUUGGAUGCCAAGAAAAUCCAUACCACUAGAA